RNAcentral lists this ribosomal RNA (735 nucleotides) under Pediococcus acidilactici. RNAcentral's name for it is "bacterial SSU rRNA". It matches the Rfam family "Bacterial small subunit ribosomal RNA", at positions 348 to 1070 of the family's 1533-position model. Lineage: Bacteria; Bacillati; Bacillota; Bacilli; Lactobacillales; Lactobacillaceae. The record is from RNAcentral.
GCAGCAGGUAAGGAAUCUUCCACAAUGGACGCAAGUCUGAUGGAGCAACGCCGCGUGAGUGAAGAAGGGUUUCGGCUCGUAAAGCUCUGUUGUUAAAGAAGAACGUGGGUGAGAGUAACUGUUCACCCAGUGACGGUAUUUAACCAGAAAGCCACGGCUAACUACGUGCCAGCAGCCGCGGUAAUACGUAGGUGGCAAGCGUUAUCCGGAUUUAUUGGGCGUAAAGCGAGCGCAGGCGGUCUUUUAAGUCUAAUGUGAAAGCCUUCGGCUCAACCGAAGAAGUGCAUUGGAAACUGGGAGACUUGAGUGCAGAAGAGGACAGUGGAACUCCAUGUGUAGCGGUGAAAUGCGUAGAUAUAUGGAAGAACACCAGUGGCGAAGGCGGCUGUCUGGUCUGUAACUGACGCUGAGGCUCGAAAGCAUGGGUAGCGAACAGGAUUAGAUACCCUGGUAGUCCAUGCCGUAAACGAUGAUUACUAAGUGUUGGAGGGUUUCCGCCCUUCAGUGCUGCAGCUAACGCAUUAAGUAAUCCGCCUGGGGAGUACGACCGCAAGGUUGAAACUCAAAAGAAUUGACGGGGGCCCGCACAAGCGGUGGAGCAUGUGGUUUAAUUCGAAGCUACGCGAAGAACCUUACCAGGUCUUGACAUCUUCUGCCAACCUAAGAGAUUAGGCGUUCCCUUCGGGGACAGAAUGACAUGGUGGUGCAUGGAUGUCGUCCAGCUUCCUUUCCUGU